AACGCUGGCGGCGUGCCUAACACGUGCAAGUCGAGCGGGGAACAUUGAAAGCUUGCUUUUGGUGUUUCUAGCGGCGGACGGGUGAGUAACGCGUGAGCAAUCUGUCUCAGACAGGGGGAUAACGCAGCGAAAGUUGCACUAAUACCGCAUAAGACCACAGAGCCACAUGGCAUAGGGGUCAAAGGAGCAAUCCGGUCUGAGGUGAGCUCGCGUCCCAUUAGGUAGUUGGUGAGGUAACGGCCCACCAAGCCUGCGAUGGGUAGCCGACCUGAGAGGGUGAUCGGCCACACUGGAACUGAGACACGGUCCAGACUCCUACGGGAGGCAGCAGUGGGGAAUAUUGGGCAAUGGGGGGAACCCUGACCCAGCAACGCCGCGUGAGGGAAGAAGGUUUUCGGAUUGUAAACCUCUGUCCUAAGAGAAGAGGGGAAGACGGUAUCUUAGGAGGAAGCCCCGGCUAACUACGUGCCAGCAGCCGCGGUAAUACGUAGGGGGCGAGCGUUGUCCGGAAUGAUUGGGCGUAAAGGGCGUGUAGGCGGCUUUAUAAGUCUGGAGUGAAAGUCCUGUUUUCAAGAUGGGAAUUGCUUUGGAUACUGUAGGGCUUGAGUGCAGGAGAGGUUAUCGGAAUUCCCGGUGUAGCGGUGAAAUGCGUAGAGAUCGGGAGGAACACCAGUGGCGAAGGCGGGUAACUGGACUGCAACUGACGCUGAGGCGCGAAAGUGUGGGGAGCAAACAGGAUUAGAUACCCUGGUAGUCCACACUGUAAACGAUGAAUGCUAGGUGUAGGGGGUAUCGACCCCUUCUGUGCCGGAGUAAACACAAUAAGCAUUCCGCCUGGGGAGUACGGCCGCAAGGUUGAAACUCAAAGGAAUUGACGGGGGCCCGCACAAGCAGCGGAGCAUGUGGUUUAAUUCGACGCAACGCGAAGAACCUUACCAGGUCUUGACAUCCACUUAAAGCCAUAGAGAUAUGGUGUGAGCUUGCUCGAAGUGAGACAGGUGGUGCAUGGUUGUCGUCAGCUCGUGUCGUGAGAUGUUGGGUUAAGUCCCGCAACGAGCGCAACCCUUGCUGAUAGUUACUAACGUGUAAAGACGAGGACUCUAUCAGGACUGCCGGGGACAACUCGGAGGAAGGUGGGGACGACGUCAAAUCAUCAUGCCCCUUAUGACCAGGGCUACACACGUGCUACAAUGGCGUAAACAAAGGGAAGCGACCCUGUGAAGGCAAGCGAAUCCCAAAAAUAACGUCCCAGUUCGGAUUGUAGUCUGCAACUCGACUACAUGAAGCUGGAAUCGCUAGUAAUCGCGAAUCAGCAUGUCGCGGUGAAUACGUUCCCGGGUCUUGCACUCACCGCCCGUCA
RNAcentral lists this ribosomal RNA (1360 nucleotides) under uncultured bacterium. Its description in RNAcentral is "bacterial SSU rRNA". It matches the Rfam family "Bacterial small subunit ribosomal RNA", at positions 32 to 1399 of the family's 1533-position model. The record is from RNAcentral.